UACGGAGGAUCCAAGCGUUAUCCGGAUUUACUGGGUUUAAAGGGUGCGUAGGCUGCAAUAUAAGUCAGUGGUGAAAUCCCGUAGCUUAACUACGGAACUGCCGUUGAUACUGUAUAGCUUGAGUUCAAAUGAAGUGGGCGGAAUGUGUCAUGUAGCGGUGAAAUGCUUAGAUAUGCCACAGAACACCGAUAGCGAAGGCAGCUCACUAAUCUGCGACUGACGCUGAAGCACGAAAGCGUGGGUAUCAAACAGGAUUAGAUACCCUGGUAGUCCACGCUGUAAACGAUGAUAACUCGAUGUUUGCAUUUAUGUAAGCGUCUAAGUGAAAACACUAAGUUAUCCACCUGGGGAGUACGAUCGCAAGAUUGAAACUCAAAGGAAUUGACGGGGGCCCGCACAAGCGGAGGAGCAUGUGGUUUAAUUCGAUGAUACGCGAGGAACCUUACCUAGGCUUGAAAGACGUAUGCUUUAUUUAGAGAUAGAUAUUUCCGUUUACGGACAUACGUUUAGGUGCUGCAUGGCU
Molecule: ribosomal RNA, 523 nt
Filed under: uncultured bacterium
Lineage: Bacteria
Description: bacterial SSU rRNA
Rfam family: Bacterial small subunit ribosomal RNA
Source: RNAcentral